GGACCUGAAAGUGAAACCAGCCUCAAGGCUACGCUCCUGGCGGCGGAGAACUCAGGGAAAUCCGGCCAGCUCAGACGAGGAACCUUGAAGAAGUUGAACAUCGGUGGAUCCCAAAAUGAAAAAUCCGGCCCUGGAAAGAAGAGGACCUACUUUGAUAUAGACCCACUGUUUGACCCCCCGGCUUGGAGCCAUGUCACUGCUGAUCCUUAAUCCUGGACUAUCUCUAUCAAAAAUAACCCAAGAAGCACCUUUGCCAACUUGGGGAC
Molecule: long non-coding RNA, 266 nt
Filed under: Bos taurus (domestic cattle)
Lineage: Eukaryota; Metazoa; Chordata; Mammalia; Artiodactyla; Bovidae
Description: long non-coding RNA NONBTAT005585
Source: RNAcentral